UAGCGAAUUCAUUUUUUAAAUUAUAAAAUGAAUAAACAUUUUUCAUUGACUACGUUUAAAUGAGAAAAAGUAUGAAUGCAAUUCUGAAAUUUGUGCAUGGAAUGAUCCUAUUUAUUUCUAUACUUCUUGUUGUACGUCAAGCUCCAAGUAAGUCCUUUUUCUAAUAAAAAAUAUGAAUGCAAUUCCGAAAUUUUAUUAGUUUUAUUACACACAAUAUUUAUCACAUUUGAAUAACAUUAUUUUGUAUUUUUUAUUAUAGAAAUUCAACAACAGCAAUGCAAAACGUAUAGGGAUUGUCCACAAUGUAUCUCACCUAAAACUCGCCAAUGCGUUUGGUUUAAAUGUUACUGUUUUGACGAAUUAGAUUAUUAAAUAAUUUGUUUUACUUUAAAAUUUAUAAUUUACUUUAAAUGUUUUGUGAUUUUUUUUAUCUCUUUUUUUCUCUUAUAACAUUCUCUUUGGAUCUCAGAUAAUAUGUAAUAAGUUUUUGUUAUACAUGAGUCAAGAAUAAUUUUAUCUGUUUAUUUUUUUAUUCUAUAUAUUAAUUUUGAGAUUUAUUUUGAUUCUUUAA
Molecule: long non-coding RNA, 571 nt
Filed under: Lathyrus oleraceus (garden pea)
Lineage: Eukaryota; Viridiplantae; Streptophyta; Magnoliopsida; Fabales; Fabaceae
Description: Pisum sativum (pea) long non-coding RNA (PSAT_LNC035043)
Source: RNAcentral